AGAACGAACGCUGGCGGCAGGCCUAAUACAUGCAAGUCGAACGCACUCUUCGGAGUGAGUGGCAGACGGGUGAGUAACGCGUGGGAACCUUCCCAAUGGUACGGAAUAACUCCGGGAAACCGGUGCUAAUACCGUAUAAGCCCCUCGGGGGAAAGAUUUAUCGCCAUUGGAUGGGCCCGCGUCGGAUUAGCUAGUUGGUGAGGUAAUGGCUCACCAAGGCUACGAUCCGUAGCUGGUCUGAGAGGAUGACCAGCCACACUGGGACUGAGACACGGCCCAGACUCCUACGGGAGGCAGCAGUAGGGAAUCUUGGACAAUGGGCGAAAGCCUGAUCCAGCCAUGCCGCGUGAGUGAAGAAGGCCUUAGGGUUGUAAAAGCUCUUUUGGCGGGACGAUAAUGACGGUACCCGCAGAAUAAGCCCGGCUAACUUCGUGCCAGCAGCCGC
Molecule: ribosomal RNA, 445 nt
Filed under: uncultured soil bacterium
Lineage: Bacteria
Description: bacterial SSU rRNA
Rfam family: Bacterial small subunit ribosomal RNA
Source: RNAcentral